Molecule: long non-coding RNA, 8285 nt
Organism: Syngnathoides biaculeatus (alligator pipefish)
Lineage: Eukaryota; Metazoa; Chordata; Actinopteri; Syngnathiformes; Syngnathidae
Exons: 3
Source: RefSeq, a predicted model, not a curated record
UAUAAACGUAAACACAGGCAGUUGGUCCACGUCCAUGCAAGGGGGAUUAUAUCAUGUCGAUCAUUUCUUUUAACAGGAUAUUCAAUAAUAUAUACUAUUCCGAUGUUCGUAAGCAUAGAUAUGUAUAGAGUGAUACGAUUCUCCCAACUAGGAGGCCCUUUCACAUGUAUUUUUUUAUUAUUAUUAUUUCUAAUCUGGAAUAUUGAUAGAAGACGCUUGAUUGUUCAUAAAACUGUCAAUCAUAGGUUGCGAAAUGAGAAAGUUACGACUUGAUUUCAGUAUCCAUGUUCCAUUACUUUUCUGAGAGAUUACCUUUUAAACAUGGCCGCCUCGUAGUCAUGUUGGUUACAGCCGGCACGCUACAUCAUGCUGAAUCUGUUCCGAGGUCUAUUCUCGUUGCUUCGACGGCAUGCAAGGAACUGGUCUCGAGUCGCCGUAUUUUUUGUUUUAAAACACUUUAUUGAUCAUAUAUAAAACUAUAGGAACGAAUACAUAAGUAUUGUACGAGAGAAGAGUUGAGAGGAUCCAUCCAUCUUCUGAGCUGCUUAUCCUCACCAGGAUCGCAGGUGUGCUGAAGCUGACUUCCGUCGAGAGGCACGAAUGGGAGAGGAAACCAGAGUACCUGGAGAAAACCUCCACAAGGAUCCAGAGAACAUGCAAACCCUACACAAGCGAUGCCUAAAUUUGAACCUGGACGUCGAAACUGUGAAGCAGAUGUGUGAACCAAUCGUCCAUUGUGUCGCCAGAGCACAGGAGAUUUUGAAUAAAAAUAUGAACUGAAGAUAUAAGACCAGCAACAAUGUCUUCAGGUCGUGUGAGAGCUCUUGACAGCACGGCUUGAGCUGAACAAAAAUUUACUGGAAAAAAAAAUGCCAAAACAGACUACAAGAGGAGGAUACAGUCCCAUCUUGCCAGCAACAGACCUUGGCAGGUGUGCCGGGUCUACAGAGCCUCAUAAACUUCAGAAGCUACAGGUAUGAUGUGACAUUAGGAGACACAAGCAACUCAUUGUCAGAGGACUUCAAGAGCUUCUUUGCUCACUUUAAAUCAUCCCAGCAACACUUCGCUGCUCCAAUGCCCUCCUGGCUCUAAUUACUCUCCAACUACUACACCUCCAGGAGCACGAUGUGAGGCGUGCGCUCCUGGCUUUGAACCGCAGGAAAGUUGCUGGCCUGGGUAGAGUACCAGGCAAGGUACUCAGAACAUGUGCCCACCAGCUCUUCAGUGUCUUCUGCAGGAUCUUCAUCCUAUCACUGACCCAACCAACCAUCCCCACUUGUUUGAAAUCUACGACAAUCAUUCCCAUCCCCCAACAGAAAUCCUUAAAUUGCCACAAUGACUACUCCCCUGUCGCACUCACACCUCUCAUUCUGAAGUGCUUCGAGAGGCUGGCAAAUAGAUCAAUGGAGGACCCCGCUGUGUUUAGCCACCCGGAACAACAACUGUGCUCCGGUAGGGUGCUCUAUGUGAAUUACGGCUCAGCCUUUAACACAAUUACACCGGACAUUCUGAUGACUAAACUGGAUGUCCCGCAAGUCCCUCCUCUCACAAGCACCUGGAUCAAGGCCUAUUUGACCAACAGACCCCAGAUUCUUGGAUGGACUCUGACUUUUCCUCUACCCACACAGUGAGAACUGGUUCGCCAAAGGGAUGUGUGCCGAGCCUCCUAGUGUACUGUCCCUACACCUUCGACUGUAUCCGAGCCCACAAAAAUAAAAUCAGCAUCAAAUUUGCUGAUGACACAACAGUGGUCAGGCUGAUCUCAAAUCGAGACAAGGUACCCUCCAGAGAGGAGCUUCAGAAGCUCACAACCUGGUGCUCCGACAACAAUUUGGUACUGAACACUAUAUAACCAAAAGAGAUCAUUGAGAAGUUCACGAUGAACAGAAUUGAAUCGGGUCCGCUCUUAAUCAAUGCCGAGAGUGUGGAGAGAGUGCACACAUUCAGGUUCCCGGGAGUCAUGAUCUCUGAGGACCUCUCCUGGACUGACAACAUCUCAGCGGUCAUCAAAAAGGUUCAACAGCAACUCCACUUCCUGAGAGUCAUCAUAAAAAACAACCUGGACACAAAAUUGCGGCUGGCCUUCUACAGCCCAUACAUUGAGAGCCUGCUGACGUACUGUGUCUCCAUCUGGUAUAGGAGCUCCACUGAAGCAGACAGAACAAGGCUUCAGAGGACAAUUAAAGCAGCACAGAAGAUCAUCGGCUGCCCUCACCUCUCCAUGGCAGAGAUUUACUCAUCUUGGUCCCUCAGCAAAUCUCGGGAAAUUAUUAAGGACACCACAGUUCUCAAGUGUUUGACCUCCUGCCAUCUAGAAGGUGGUACAGAUGUGCAAAAGCAAGGACCAAUAGACUGACAUUUUUUUUUUUUCCCCGAGAGCCAUCACGCCCUGAACUGUCAUCUUUUCUCUAGCCGUGCUAUUAAUGUGAAGGCACGCCGAUUUCAGCAUCUUGACCAAUUCAAUUUAUGCAUGCCAUUUUGCACAUCUAUUUUUAUUUCUUUUUACUCUUCUUCUUUUCCUUUUGGCUUGUUCAUUAGAGGUCGCCACAGCGCGUCAUCUUUUUCCAUGUGCGCCGAUCUCCUGCUACUUCCUCUCAAACCCCAACUUCCCUGUCUUCCCUCACAACAUCCAUCAACCUUCUACACAAGCCAAAUUUCCACCGACGUCCCGCAGGUUAACAGUGCCGGGGGUGGACAUUGUUAAUCCAGGCCACAACCGAUCCGGGAUGGGAUUCUUGAUAUGAACGCUCAUAUUUGUUUGGCAAACUUUUAAGAUGGAUGCCCUUCCUGACACAAACCUCUAUUUAUUCGGGGUUGGGACUGGCCUACAGACUGUACUGGCUCGUGCAACCAAACGGCUGCAUUAUUGUUUUUUAUUUUUAGUUCAUUUUUAUUCUUAUUUGUUUUUAUUUGUAACCUUGUUUUUAUGUAUGCAUUGACAAAGGAGAAGCGCUCCAAUUUGAUUGUACAGAGUAUAAAUCCCAUUCAUGGACAGCGUCCCAUUUUAGGACAUCAUGAUGUUCACACAUUAUAUCCUUCAGUAUAUCAAAAUAUUUAAGUGUUUUAAUCUGAAGAUAUAAUUUGGUAUCAGGAGAGGAUAACUCAUCAAAGUUAGCACAGAGUUAUUUCCCUUUCCUUCCUGACCCAACAUAACUGCCUCAAGUUAUCAUAUAACUUAACCAUAAACAAAAAAGAAGUGUUAUUUCCUUGAUUGUGGCCUGUUGGGAGACUUUUAUCUCAAUAAGGCAAAAAAUUGCCUCUCUGCCCAUUAAAUAGGAUCAUAACAAAAAACGGUAUUAUUUGAUUCAUUCAUUCAACUCUUUCAAUCACAAACCGGGAUACAACUUACCAAAAUCUAUUAGUACGGUGACAUGGGCAGAAUAGGAGUACAAGUGUUUCAGGUGAUAUUUCACCCACCCCUCCCCCCAAAAAAGAUGUUUGCCAGGGUCGUAGGUAUAUAUAGAUGUAAAAGACAUUUUGUCAGGUUCAUCACUUAACUGCUGGAAAAAUAUAUAAAUAACAAGGACAGAAGAGGUCUUCAAUUUGCUCAUGAGGAGGACAGGUUCAGCUGACUAGCUGCACCUCCGAAACACAUUCUGAGUCAGUGUCUAUGUCUUGUGUCUCUUUUUAUUGCUUUCUCAGGUCAAAAGUUUACAAAUUCACCAAGUACAAAUGGUGACGCAGAUGGCAACACAAACACAAAAGUAAACAUUUCUUCAAAGUUCAGCAGGGUCCAAAAAACAUCUCGAGAUGAGCAGGGCAUCUAAUUUAAAGCAUGUUUAUGGUGUUCAGGAGUACCGGCUUGAAGUCAGCAGGGGGAACAUCGGCUUUCCAGGUUUUGCUGGGUCACACAGCCACUCCCAAAGAGAAUGAUUUGGGCAAGAAUAUUAGAAACAAAUGCAUGAUGAAAGAAUUUUAACCCAUUUCCCUUGCUUUAUUUGUAAGGAUAUACAGUAAUAAUAUGGAAGUGUCUUAGUGCUUUUCCAGUGUAAAUUAUCAACAAAACAUUUCCUAUUGUAGUUGCCUUUAGCGCCGUAUUUGGCAAAGAUGUCUUUUCGCCCUUUUUUUAAGAGAAGUAAAACUAUUGGAAUACCAUCUAGAACUUCACCAAGUUUUUUCGAGUAAUUAAUGUUAAAUUUGCUCAGAAACUCAGAGUAACAUAAAACAAGCCCGUAGUUAUUUAUAAAUUGCUUUCCAGAUCCAUGCAAUUUCUAAACCAGUAUGGGGAAAAAAAGAAAGCUUGAGUCUUGUUUUGGCCCUCAUUUUUUGUGGUUCAGUUAGUUCAUGCUUUAUUUUUCACAGUGAAGAAAAAUAAGUAUUUGAUUACCCUGCUGUAUUGCAAGUUCUCCCACUUAGAAAUCAUGGAGGGGUCUGAAAUGUUCAUCGUAGGUGCAUGUCCACUGUGAAAGAGAUAAUCUAAAAAGAAAAAUCAAGAAAUCACAAUGUAUGAUUUUUUAGCGAUUUAUUUGUGUGAUACAGCUGCAAAUAAGUAUUUGAACACCUGUCUAUCAGCUAGAAUUCUGACCCUCAAAGACUUGUUUGUUCGCCUUUAAAAAUGCACCUCCACUCCAUGUAUUAUCCUGAAUCGGAUGCACCUGUGUGAGGUCGGUAGCUGCAUAAAGACAUCUGUCCACCCCCUACAAUCAGUGAGACUCAAACUUGUAACAUGGCAAAGACCAAAGAGCUGUCCAAAGACACCAGAGACAAAAUUGUACAACUCCACACAACUGGAAAGGGCUACGGAGAAAUUGCCCACCAGCUUGGUGAAAAAACAUCCACUGUUGGAACAAUCAUUACAAAAUGGAAGAAGCAAAACAUGACGGUCAAUCUCGAUCGGAGUGGAGGCCCAUGCAAGAUUUCACCUCGUGGGGUCUCAAUGAUCCUUAGAAAGGUGGGGAAUCAGCCCAGGACUACACGACAGGACUUGGUCAAUGACCUGAAAAGAGCUGGGGCCACUGUUUCCAAGGUGACUGUUGGUAAUACACUGAUGAUGAUGUCAUGGUUUGAAAUCAUGCAUGACACGGAAGGUUCCCCUUCUUAAACCAGCACGUCAAGACCCGUCUUAGGUUUGCCAAUGACCAUUUGGAUGAUACAGAGGAGUCAUAGGAGAAAGUUUUAUGGUCAGAUGAGACCAAAAAAAAUCACCUCAUUAAAGAAUACAGAGAAGUGCAAGUUUACGAUUAAAGUUCAAUUCAGUUGUAUUUUUUUUUUUUUUUACAUUGUCAGUAUUGACAUUUCUUUCUCCACAUGUGGAGCAAUUAAUUUUUUAACUUCUGGAUGCAAAUGGGAUUUCAUUUUAUUAACAAUAUUGUGGCCGAUCAUGAAUGUAGAAGUGAUGCUUAAAUAUUAAUAUCACUUGUUUUUGACAGUUUGAUGAAUAUAUCCCAUUUAUAUACUGCUCAUUUGUGUGUGUUAAUACAGCAUUUGAGUACCAUCCAUCCAUUUUCUUAGUCGCUUUAUUCUCACGAGGGUCACUGGGGAGUACUGGAGCCUAUCCCAACUGUCAAUGGGCAGGAGGCGAGGUAACCCUGAACUGGUUGCCAGCCAAUCACAGGGCACAUAGAGACAAACAGCCACCCUCACAAUCACACCCAGGGGCAAUUUCGAUUGUCCAAUUAAUGUUGCAUGUUUUUGGGAUGUGGGAGAAAACCGGAGUGCCCAGAGAAAACCAUGCAAACUCCACACAGCCGGGUCCGGGAUUGAAUCCGGGACCCAAGAACUGUGAGGCCAAUACUUUCCAGCUGAUCCACUGUCCCACCCCUUAACAAGUUGAGAUGAUGGUCAAGCAAUGGAUUGGUUGGGAAUCAAACCCCUGUUAACUACUUGGAAGGCAGCUAUGCUAACCACUAUAUCACCAACACACCAUUUGAGAACCAAUCUUCAUUAUUUUAAGAGAGAAGUGCUUUCCUAAACUCAUCAAAGGGGUGUUUCCAGUGAUUGUGUGUUCGCUUUGAAGUAAACAUUUUUGUGAACAUAAACACAGAAAGAAACUUCUGUGCUGUAUUUGAACAUUCAGUUGGUAUAAUUCCUUUGUUAUGGGGGUUUAGUUCAAGAGUAAACCUGAAGUGGAGUGUCAAGCAACUUGAACUUUAAACUGGAGUUUGAGACGCCUGACUUAAAGCAAACAACAUUCAGUCUUACUAAAUGCUAUUAUGUUAGCACUAUUGGAACCUGUUGUUGUGGGCUAUAUAUCCUCUCUCAGCGCAACUGAUGGUAGUACUGGAAUAAAACUCUUCAGUGUUUAUGAUAAACACAUGGGCCUACUGCACAAAAGACCAGGAUGAAUAAGAGUAUUCACAGGCCUGCUACAGCGCAAUUGUAGGUCAAGAUGGUGGUACAUAGAGAGGCUAGUUUUAUUUUGGGAGUCUUCAAAGUUUGGGAAACAAUGAGUAAAUAUACAAAAGAGUGAAAUAUGCAUGUCGAUGCUCCAACUAAACCAUACUGUACCAGUACGCCAAUUCGUAUCGUCCUUUAAAAAUCUCAAUAGAUAACUGAUUUGGUCUCAGCAACAUUGGAAAGUUCAGGAAUGCAGUCUGUUUGGGAAUCUCUGUUAAUGAAACAUUUGUAUCGUUUCAUGAGUUGACCCACAAAUUCAGCCUUUACAGAAACCAGUUUUUCAGAUCUUUGCAAGUCAAGGAUAAUGCCCGAAAGCACUCCCCUGACAUUCCUAAUAUUCCAUCUACAUUCUGACAAGUUUUGUAGUUAAUCUUAUAUAUUUGAAGCAGACUUGCUCCCUGCAAACUGAGGUUACGCAGUGACCCCCACGCAGUGGGAUAAACUACAUUCUUCAAAGUCGGCCUGGUGUGACAGUCCGACAGCAGGGCGCUUGGGCUCAAAAGUAAUUAGGAUGUUCACUCGGCCCCUGAUCACGUUUCCAACUUUAGUCCAACACAUUCUAUUUCCUUUGUUGUAUGCCAAUUUUCCUACAUUUGAUCAUUUCUUUUUAUUUUCUUUCUUUAGUCUAACGUUUUGUGUAUUUCCCUUUAGAUCCCUUCUAGUUGUCAUUAAAUAACUUUCUUUCGACUCGUCCCGUUUGGGGGUCGCCACAGCGUGUCAUCUCAGAUGAACGCUCAUAUUUGUUUGGCACAGUUUUUACGGUGGAUGCCCUUCCUAAUGCAACCCCUCUUGGGGAGUUGGGGAAUUGUAGUUGUCAUUAAAUAUACUAUAAAAUUCCAGUCUUGAUUGUAUUUUGUGUUCUGAAUUCAAGCAAACCUCUGUCAUCUAGAACUCAAAAAGUGUGGCAACCUUCUGAUUAUGAGAAUGAUGAAAAUGUUUCUCAUUCCGUUAACUAAUUUUGUCCACGUGAAAAUUGACGUGGUACCCCUUUUGCGAGAUAAAAUAGCUUGAUUUAUAACACGAAAAUUUCAAAGUAUGAAGUGAUCUUAAACGAUCUAUGUGUGAGCUGUAUUCUAUUUCAGUAGACACAGCAAUACAGGAUUUGUAAGCAUGAGAAAACUAUGAUUAGCCUCUCAGUAAAGCUAGAGUGUUAACUUUUUUUGUGUGGGAAAACGUGGUUGGCAUUUUCUCUUUCUGCUUUGUGUAUCACAGUGCUUUUCAACCACUUCGCCACGGCACAGUACCGUGGUGUGGUGUAGUGUCUGGUGUGCUGUAGGAAACCAUCCAUCCAUUUUCUACUGCUUUUCCAAGUCGGGUCACGGGGGAAGUAGCUUCAGCAAGGACACCCAGACUUCCCUUUCCCCAGCCACUUCUUCCAGCUCUUCAGGAGGGUCCCGAAGUGUUCCCAAGCUAGCCAAGAGACAUGGUGUGUCCUGUCCAGCUUGUCCUGGGUCGUCCCCAGGGUCUCUUUCCGGUGGGACAUGCCCGGAACACCUCACCAGGGUGCCGUCCAGGAGGCAUCCAGAUCAGAUUCCCCAGCCACCUCAUCUGGCUCUUCUCAAUGUGGAGGAGCAGUGGCUCAACACUGAGCCUCUCACGGAUGACUGAGCUUCUCACCGUAUCUCUAAGGGAGAGCCGGGACACCCUGCGGCGGAAACUCAUUUUGGUCGCUUGUAUCCCGGAUCUUGUUCUUUCGGUCACGACUCAAAGCUCGUGCCCAUAGGUGAGGGUAGGAACAUAGAUCGACUGGAAAAUUGAGAGCUUUGCCUUUCGACUGAGCUCCCUCUGAACCACAACGGACAGAGUCACUGCAGACGCUGCACCGAUGAGUCUGUCGAUCUCCCGCUCCAUUCUUCCCUCACUCAUGAACAAGACCCCAAGAUACUUGAACUCCUCCACUUAGGAAAGGCUCUCAUCCCCGACCCAGAGAGGGCAAGCCACUCUUUUCC